This 229-nucleotide long non-coding RNA is filed under the name Elaeis guineensis (African oil palm). RNAcentral describes it as "long non-coding RNA (EGUI_LNC078971)". The record is from RNAcentral. Lineage: Eukaryota; Viridiplantae; Streptophyta; Magnoliopsida; Arecales; Arecaceae.
GACCGAGGUUUUUCAAUUCAUAAAUCUCAAAUUGGGGUGUUCUAGAUAGGAAAGAAGAUAGAUAGAACUAGACCUUGUAGAUCUAUCCUGCUGUAGCCUUUCCUGUAGAUCUGUUGAUGGAGAUCUCACCCGUGCCUCAAACGACCUCAGAUCAACUCCAGAUCUGAGAGGAACUUGUACCAACCUCGUAGCAAGAGAUUUCCAAUCUUGGACCUAAUGUUUGGGUGGC